This 460-nucleotide long non-coding RNA is filed under the name Musa acuminata (dwarf banana). Its description in RNAcentral is "long non-coding RNA (MACU_LNC009485)". The record is from RNAcentral. Lineage: Eukaryota; Viridiplantae; Streptophyta; Magnoliopsida; Zingiberales; Musaceae.
GUGAGUCAUACCUGUCAAAACUCCUUCUAACUCAGUGAAUUAUUAUCUCUGUAAUAAUUCACUCGACUCAUCGACUACGGACGUACUAGGCCACUACGCCGUAGUCCCCAGACGAUACAGGGGAAUCCAAUCCAUUAGACCUGUCUGUCCUCAAUUACUAUGUACCUAUAGUCCCUCAUCCAUCUAAUAUCCCAGAGACCGUAUAUCGAGCAUGGUGCUGUCAGACCCAUACGGUUUCUACUCGAGUCUCGCUCUAAUCGGAUUCUCCCGGAGAACUCUUUCUCUCUCAACCCGAAUGACCCUGGCCAGGGAUUUGUCUGAGCAAGAACACAUGGGAUAUUCCUCUCAUGACGCCGAGAGUGGAUGAUCCUCUGUCGACACUCAAUAGCCCUCAUAAGGUUGACUACCACUCCCAAUGACCAGCUGUACUAGAUCUGGGACAACCAAACCUAUAAGUCUG